CCCGCUGAACUUAAGCAUAUCAAUAAGCGGAGGAAAAGAAACUAACAAGGAUUCCCCUAGUAACUGCGAGUGAAGCGGGAAGAGCUCAAAUUUAAAAUCUGGCGUGCCUCUGGUCGUCCGAGUUGUAGUCUGGAGAAGCGUUUUCCGUGUUGGACCGUGUAUAAGUCUCUUGGAACAGGGCGUCAUAGAGGGUGAGAAUCCCGUCUUUGACACGGACUACCAAUGCUUUGUGAUGCGCUCUCAAAGAGUCGAGUUGUUUGGGAAUGCAGCUCAAAAUGGGUGGUAAAUUCCAUCUAAAGCUAAAUAUAGGCGAGAGACCGAUAGCGAACAAGUACCGUGAGGGAAAGAUGAAAAGCACUUUGGAAAGAGAGUUAAACAGUACGUGAAAUUGCUGAAAGGGAAACGCUUGAAGUCAGUCACGUCUGCCAGGACUCAGCUUCGCUUCUGCUUGGUGUACUUUCUGGUUUGAUGGGCCAACAUCAAUUUUGACCGUUGGAGAAAGGCUUUGGGAAUGUGGCACCUUUGGGUGUGUUAUAGCCCUUUGUCGUAUGCAGCGGUUGGGAUUGAGGACUGCAGCACGCCUUCAUGGCCGGGGUUCGCCCACGUACGUGCUUAGGAUGUUGGCAUAAUGGCUUUAAGCGACCCGUCUUGAAACACGG
RNAcentral lists this ribosomal RNA (659 nucleotides) under uncultured fungus. RNAcentral describes it as "eukaryotic LSU rRNA". It matches the Rfam family "Eukaryotic large subunit ribosomal RNA", at positions 24 to 664 of the family's 3401-position model. The record is from RNAcentral. Lineage: Eukaryota; Fungi.